This 67-nucleotide transfer RNA is filed under the name bovine gut metagenome. It matches the Rfam family "tRNA". From Rfam's summary of the family: Transfer RNA (tRNA) molecules are approximately 80 nucleotides in length. Their secondary structure includes four short double-helical elements and three loops (D, anti-codon, and T loops). The record is from RNAcentral.
UGGGUAGCUCAGUCGGUAGAGCAGGGGACUGAAAAUCCCCGUGUCGGGGGUUCGAUUCCCUCCCCAA